GCUCAGGACGAACGCUGGUGGCGUGCUUAACACAUGCAAGUCGAACGGUGAUGCCCAGCUUGCUGGGUGGAUCAGUGGCGAACGGGUGAGUAACACGUGAGCAACCUGCCCCCUACUUCGGGAUAAGCCUUGGAAACGGGGUCUAAUACCGGAUAUGAACACUUGCCGCAUGGUGGGUGUUGGAAAGUUUUUCGGUGGGGGAUGGGCUCGCGGCCUAUCAGCUUGUUGGUGGGGUAAUGGCCUACCAAGGGCGUCGACGGGUAGCCGGCCUGAGAGGGCGACCGGCCACACUGGGACUGAGACACGGCCCAGACUCCUACGGGAGGCAGCAGUGGGGAAUAUUGCACAAUGGGCGAAAGCCUGAUGCAGCGACGCCACGUGAGGGAUGACGGCCUUCGGGUUGUAAACCUCUUUCAGCAGGGAAGAAGCGCAAGUGACGGUACCUGCAGAAGAAGCGCCGGCUAACUACGUGCCAGCAGCCGCGGUAAUACGUAGGGCGCAAGCGUUGUCCGGAAUUAUUGGGCGUAAAGAGCUCGUAGGCGGUCUGUCGCGUCUGGUGUGAAAUCCCAUGGCUCAACUGUGGGCUUGCAUCGGGUACGGGCAGACUAGAGUGCUGUAGGGGAGACUGGAAUUCCUGGUGUAGCGGUGGAAUGCGCAGAUAUCAGGAGGAACACCGAUGGCGAAGGCAGGUCUCUGGGCAGUUACUGACGCUGAGGAGCGAAAGCAUGGGGAGCGAACAGGAUUAGAUACCCUGGUAGUCCAUGCCGUAAACGUUGGGCACUAGGUGUGGGGCCAGUUCCACUGGUUCUGUGCCGCAGCUAACGCAUUAAGUGCCCCGCCUGGGGAGUACGGCCGCAAGGCUAAAACUCAAAGGAAUUGACGGGGGCCCGCACAAGCGGCGGAGCAUGCGGAUUAAUUCGAUGCAACGCGAAGAACCUUACCAAGGCUUGACAUGUACGAGAAAGCCCCAGAGAUGGGGUUCUCUUUGGACACUCGUACACAGGUGGUGCAUGGUUGUCGUCAGCUCGUGUCGUGAGAUGUUGGGUUAAGUCCCGCAACGAGCGCAACCCUUAUCCUAUGUUGCCAGCGGGUUAUGCCGGGGACUCAUGGGAGACUGCCGGGGUCAACUCGGAGGAAGGUGGGGAUGACGUCAAAUCAUCAUGCCCCUUAUGUCUUGGGCUUCACGCAUGCUACAAUGGCCGGUACAGAGGGCUGCGAUACCGUGAGGUGGAGCGAAUCCCAAAAAGCCGGUCUCAGUUCGGAUCGGGGUCUGCAACUCGACCCCGUGAAGUCGGAGUCGCUAGUAAUCGCAGAUCAGCAACGCUGCGGUGAAUACGUUCCCGGGCCUUGUACACACCGCCCGUCAAGUCACGAAAGUUGGUAACACCCGAAGCUCACGGCCCAACCCCUUGUGGGAGGGAGUGGUCGAAGGUGGGA
RNAcentral lists this ribosomal RNA (1437 nucleotides) under Promicromonospora endophytica. RNAcentral describes it as "bacterial SSU rRNA". It matches the Rfam family "Bacterial small subunit ribosomal RNA". Lineage: Bacteria; Bacillati; Actinomycetota; Actinomycetes; Micrococcales; Promicromonosporaceae. The record is from RNAcentral.